AGAGUUUGAUCAUGGCUCAGAUUGAACGCUGGCGGCAGGCUUAACACAUGCAAGUCGAGCGGUAACAGGGGGAGCUUGCUUCCCGCUGACGAGCGGCGGACGGGUGAGUAAUGCUUAGGAAUCUGCCCAGUAGUGGGGGAUAGCCCGGGGAAACCCGGAUUAAUACCGCAUACGUCCUACGGGAGAAAGCAGGGGAUCUUCGGACCUUGCGCUAUUGGAUGAGCCUAAGUCGGAUUAGCUAGUUGGUGGGGUAAAGGCCUACCAAGGCGACGAUCCGUAGCUGGUCUGAGAGGAUGAUCAGCCACAUCGGGACUGAGACACGGCCCGAACUCCUACGGGAGGCAGCAGUGGGGAAUAUUGGACAAUGGGGGCAACCCUGAUCCAGCCAUGCCGCGUGUGUGAAGAAGGCUUUCGGGUUGUAAAGCACUUUCAGUAGGGAGGAAAACCUUAUGGCUAAUACCCAUGAGGCUUGACGUUACCUACAGAAGAAGCACCGGCUAACUCCGUGCCAGCAGCCGCGGUAAUACGGAGGGUGCAAGCGUUAAUCGGAAUUACUGGGCGUAAAGCGCGCGUAGGUGGUUUGGUAAGCGAGAUGUGAAAGCCCCGGGCUUAACCUGGGAACGGCAUUUCGAACUGUCAGACUAGAGUGUGGUAGAGGGUAGUGGAAUUUCCUGUGUAGCGGUGAAAUGCGUAGAUAUAGGAAGGAACACCAGUGGCGAAGGCGGCUACCUGGACCAACACUGACACUGAGGUGCGAAAGCGUGGG
RNAcentral lists this ribosomal RNA (766 nucleotides) under uncultured bacterium. RNAcentral's name for it is "bacterial SSU rRNA". It matches the Rfam family "Bacterial small subunit ribosomal RNA", at positions 8 to 765 of the family's 1533-position model. The record is from RNAcentral.